This 656-nucleotide long non-coding RNA is filed under the name Lathyrus oleraceus (garden pea). RNAcentral's name for it is "Pisum sativum (pea) long non-coding RNA (PSAT_LNC008671)". Lineage: Eukaryota; Viridiplantae; Streptophyta; Magnoliopsida; Fabales; Fabaceae. The record is from RNAcentral.
CGUGGUUUGGUACGUUGAAGUGUGGUGGUUGAUGUAUCCAGUACAGUGGUGGUUAGAAGAAGGAGUGUCGGCGUUUGGUGGAGAGCGAUGGAAGAAGAUGAACGGCCUUUUUGUGGUGGUGAAUGGUGGAGGUAACGGCGGUUAUGGUGGAAUUCCGACAGAGAGAGAUAAGAGAGUGGUGGUUGGUUUAGGAGAAUGAACACUGAGUGAGGGACGCAUGGUGAGAGAAGAGAGAUACGUCAGAGUUUGUUGUGAGUGGGUGAGGAUUAUUUUGUGAGUGGAGUGAUUGGUAGUAAUAGGUGAGAGGGAAACGUAUGGAGGGGGUAGUGGGUAUUUAUGAGUGAGUGAUUCAUGUGAGUGGGGGUGAGGUGGAUCGUGUAGAGAGUGGAGUAUCCUUUUUAAUUUAUUUAUUUUUGUUUUUUAUUCGUUGGCCAGAGAUAGUAUGAGUUGGUUCCUUCUUUGCAAUUUUUUUAUUUUUUUAUUUUGUUUUUUAUGUCCUUAUCCAUUUCAUGACCAUUGGAGGAAAAUAUGUGAGUGGAGGAGGGUAUACCAAUUUGUUUGCCAACUGUCAGAAAAAUCUGAGAGACCUUUGGAUGUUAGUUGGCCUUUUGCAAAAGGAAUCCAAAGCUGUCAAUUUUGUUUUGAAAACAAUUAUU